ACAUCCAGAGAACUUAGCAGAGAUGCUUUGGUGCCUUCGGGAACUCUGAGACAGGUGCUGCAUGGCUGUCGUCAGCUCGUGUUGUGAAAUGUUGGGUUAAGUCCCGNAACGAGCGCAACCCUUAUCCUUUGUUGCCAGCGGUUCGGCCGGGAACUCAAAGGAGACUGCCGGUGAUAAACCGGAGGAAGGUGGGGAUGACGUCAAGUCAUCAUGGCCCUUACGGCCAGGGCUACACACGUGCUACAAUGGCGCAUACAAAGAGAAGCGACCUCGCGAGAGCAAGCGGACCUCAUAAAGUGCGUCGUAGUCCGGAUUGGAGUCUGCAACUCGACUCCAUGAAGUCGGAAUCGCUAGUAAUCGUAGAUCAGAAUGCUACGGUGAAUACGUUCCCGGGCCUUGUACACACCGCCCGUCACACCAUGGGAGUGGGUUGCAAAAGAAGUAGGUAGCUUAACCUUCGGGAGGGCGCUUACCACUUUGUGAUUCAUGACUGGGGUGAAGUCGUAACAAGGUAGGCGUAGUGCU
RNAcentral lists this ribosomal RNA (525 nucleotides) under uncultured bacterium. RNAcentral describes it as "bacterial SSU rRNA". It matches the Rfam family "Bacterial small subunit ribosomal RNA", at positions 984 to 1509 of the family's 1533-position model. The record is from RNAcentral.